Small nuclear RNA from Rattus norvegicus (Norway rat), 133 nucleotides. Ensembl annotates it as U4 spliceosomal RNA. NCBI's taxonomy places the organism in Eukaryota, Metazoa, Chordata, Mammalia, Rodentia, Muridae. The record is from Ensembl.
AGCUUUGCGCAGUGGCAGUAUCGUAGCCAAUGAGGUUUAUCCGAGGCGCGAUCAUUGCUAAUAGAAAUACACACAAAUAUAUGAAAACGGGACAGCGAUGUAAUUAUAUUUUAUUUCAGAAAAGGAAAUUUCA